RNAcentral lists this ribosomal RNA (606 nucleotides) under uncultured Bilophila sp. RNAcentral's name for it is "partial 16S ribosomal RNA". It matches the Rfam family "Bacterial small subunit ribosomal RNA", at positions 950 to 1533 of the family's 1533-position model. The record is from RNAcentral. Lineage: Bacteria; Pseudomonadati; Thermodesulfobacteriota; Desulfovibrionia; Desulfovibrionales; Desulfovibrionaceae.
UUCGAUGCAGCGCGAAGAACCUUACCCAGGCUUGACAUCUAGGGAACCCUUCGGAAAUGAAGGGGUGCCCUUCGGGGAGCCNUAAGACAGGUGNUGCAUGGCNGUCGUCAGCUCGUGCCGUGAGGUNNNGGGUUAAGUCCCGCAACGAGCGCAGCCCCUAUCUUCAGUUGCCAGCAGGUAAGGNUGGUCACUCUGGAGAGACCGCCCCGGUCAACGGGGAGGAAGGUGGGGACGACGUCAAGUCAUCAUGGCCCUUACGCCUGGGGCUACACACGUACUACAAUGGCGCGCACAAAGGGUAGCGAGACCGCGAGGUGGAGCCAAUCCCAAAAAACGCGUCCCAGUCCGGAUUGGAGUNUGCAACUNGACUCCAUGAAGUCGGAAUCGCUAGUAAUUCGAGAUCAGCAUGCUCGGGNGAAUGCGUUCCCGGGCCUUGUACACACCGCCCGUCACACCACGAAAGUCGGUUUUACCCGAAGCCGGUGAGNUAACUCGCAAGAGAAGCAGCCGCCUNCNGUAGGGCCGAUGAUUGGGGNGAAGUCGUAACAAGGUAACAAUCACUAGCGAAUNCGCGGCCGCCUGCAGGUCGACCAUANNGGAGAGCUC